UACGUAGGGGGCUAGCGUUGUCCGGAAUCAUUGGGCGUAAAGGGCGCGUAGGCGGUCGUGACAAGUCACUUGUGAAAUCUCCGGGCUUAACUCGGAACGGUCAAGUGAUACUGUCGGACUAGAGUACAGAAGGGGCAACUGGAAUUCUCGGUGUAGCGGUGAAAUGCGUAGAUAUCGAGAGGAACACCUGCGGCGAAGGCGGGUUGCUGGGCUGAUACUGACGCUGAGGCGCGAAAGCCAGGGGAGCGAACGGGG
This 255-nucleotide ribosomal RNA is filed under the name uncultured bacterium. RNAcentral's name for it is "partial 16S ribosomal RNA". It matches the Rfam family "Bacterial small subunit ribosomal RNA", at positions 524 to 777 of the family's 1533-position model. The record is from RNAcentral.